GACGAACGCUGGCGGCGUGCUUAACACAUGCAAGUCGAACGGAAAGGCCCUGCUUGCAGGGUACUCGAGUGGCGAACGGGUGAGUAACACGUGGGUGAUCUGCCCUGCACUUCGGGAUAAGCCUGGGAAACUGGGUCUAAUACCGGACAGGAGCCAUUUUUAGUGUGAUGGUUGGAAAGUUUUUUCGGUGUAGGUUGAGCUCGCGGCCUAUCAGCUUGUUGGUGGGGUAAUGGCCUACCAAGGCGGCGACGGGUAGCCGGCCUGAGAGGGUGGACGGCCACCUUGGGACUGAGAGACGGCCCAGACGCCGACGGGAGGCAGAAGUGGGGAAUAUUGCACAAUGGGCGCAGGCCGGAUGCAGCGACGCCGCGGGGGGGAUGACGGCCUUCGGGUUGUAAACUCCUUUCGCUAGGGACGAAGCUUUUUGUGACGGUACCUAGAUAAGAAGCACCGGCUAACUACGUG
Molecule: ribosomal RNA, 465 nt
Filed under: uncultured bacterium
Lineage: Bacteria
Description: partial 16S ribosomal RNA
Rfam family: Bacterial small subunit ribosomal RNA
Source: RNAcentral